This 505-nucleotide ribosomal RNA is filed under the name uncultured bacterium. RNAcentral describes it as "partial 16S ribosomal RNA". It matches the Rfam family "Bacterial small subunit ribosomal RNA", at positions 28 to 507 of the family's 1533-position model. The record is from RNAcentral.
GACGAACGCUGGCGGCGUGCCUAAUACAUGCAAGUAGAACGCACAGUUUAUACCGUAGCUUGCUACACCAUAGACUGCGAGUUGCGAACGGGUGAGUAACGCGUAGGUAACCUGCCUGGUAGCGGGGGAUAACUAUUGGAAACGAUAGCUAAUACCGCAUAAUAUUAAUUAUUGCAUGAUAAUUAAUUGAAAGGUGCAAUUGCACCACUACCAGAUGGACCUGCGUUGUAUUAGCUAGUAGGUGAGGUAACGGCUCACCUAGGCGACGAUACAUAGCCGACCUGAGAGGGUGAUCGGCCACACUGGGACUGAGACACGGCCCAGACUCCUACGGGAGGCAGCAGUAGGGAAUCUUCGGCAAUAGACGAAAGGCUGACCGAGCAACGCCGCGUGAGUGAAGAAGGGUUUCGGAUCGUAAAGCUCUGUUGUAAGAGAAGAACGGGUGUGAGAGUGGAAAGUUCACACUGUGACGGUAUCUUACCAGAAAGGGACGGCUAACUACGUG